GAUGAACGCUGGCGGCGUGCCUAAUACAUGCAAGUCGAGCGAACAGACGAGGAGCUUGCUCCUCUGACGUUAGCGGCGGACGGGUGAGUAACACGUGGAUAACCUACCUAUAAGACUGGGAUAACUUCGGGAAACCGGAGCUAAUACCGGAUAACAUGUUGAACCGCAUGGUUCAACAGUGAAAGACGGUCUUGCUGUCACUUAUAGAUGGAUCCGCGCCGCAUUAGCUAGUUGGUAAGGUAACGGCUUACCAAGGCAACGAUGCGUAGCCGACCUGAGAGGGUGAUCGGGCACACUGGAACAGAGACACGGUCCAGACUCCUACGGGAGGCAGCAGUAGGGAAUCUUCCGCAAUGGGCGAAAGCCUGACGGAGCAACGCCGCGUGAGUGAAGAAGGUCUUCGGAUCGUAAAACUCUGUUAGUAGGGAAGAACAAAUGUGUAAGUAACUAUGCACGUCUUGACGGUACCUAAUCAGAAAGCCACGGCUAACUACGUG
RNAcentral lists this ribosomal RNA (497 nucleotides) under uncultured bacterium. RNAcentral describes it as "partial 16S ribosomal RNA". It matches the Rfam family "Bacterial small subunit ribosomal RNA", at positions 28 to 507 of the family's 1533-position model. The record is from RNAcentral.